This 706-nucleotide long non-coding RNA is filed under the name Ananas comosus (pineapple). Its description in RNAcentral is "long non-coding RNA (ACOM_LNC018808)". Lineage: Eukaryota; Viridiplantae; Streptophyta; Magnoliopsida; Poales; Bromeliaceae. The record is from RNAcentral.
UUUUAAAAUGACAUAUUGAAAGAGUUUCGAGAGUUAGAGAAGUAAAAUUGUCAUUUUACAUAAUAUGCAGUAUUACUGGCUUUCAGUAAUUCAAGAUACACGUCCCCCCUCUCAUUAAUAUUUUUGGUGUAAUUCUGUACCAUUUUUAAUACUACAUUACCGACCCGAUUACAUACCGGAUGAACCAAACACGGUAAUCCUGACAGGAUUGCUCGUAAUCCUGUCAGAAUAACCUGAACCAAAUGCACUCUUAUGAGUAUAAAGCCCAUGAGUUGUUUUCAAUGAUGGAGCUUCUGAAUCAAUGAUUCACUCCGUUAAAUAUAAUCUAGAGUAUUUGAAAGUUCUAAAAAAUAAAUUUUGUAAUUUUUUGAAAUUAUAAUAAAGUCUAUCAAGCAGGUAAAAAAUGAACAAUUAAAAUCGAACGGCGUUCUAAAAAUAGAUGAUCAGAUCCUUCAAUUUCAUAUUAGAGUUAUUAAUCUUUAUCUAGAUAGUGAUUAAUCAAAAAUUCAAUCGAUUUCGAUUCUUUUACACUGUUAAACUAGCAAGUAUCUCAUAUUGGCUUUUAAAAUUAUUAAUUUUGAGAUUUUUUAAUCGUAAGGUAAAUAAUGUUAAAAAAAUAUAAAAUUUGAUUUCUACAAGUUUUAAAUACUCUAGAAAAUAUUUAACGGCAUGGAUUAUCGUUUCGAAAAUUUUAUUAUUGAAAACA